AGCCUGAGGAAAACAUCUUAGGUUUAACCUGCCCAAUGUGAAAUGAAUGGCCGCGGUACUUUGACCGUGCUAAGGUAGCGUAAUUAUUUGUCUUUUAAAUGGGGUCAUGUAUGAAUGGAACCACGGGGUUAAGCUGUCUAAAAUUAAUUUUUUUGAAAUUACUAUGCAAAUGAAAAAGUUUGCGUAAAGAAAAAAGACGAGAAGACCCUUAGAGUUUUUGUGAAAGAGUUUUCCCCUUUAUUCACUUUUGUUGGGGCAACAUAGGAACAUAAAACCUCCUUAAAAUUUAAACCGAUUUUUUUAAGUAUGAAAAAACUACCUUAGGGAUAACAGCAUAAUUUAUUAAUAAGUUUGUGACCUCGAUGUUGGACUAGGAAUCUAGAGGGCUAGCCGUUUUCUAGAAAAGUUCUGUUCGAACAAAAAUUCCU
Molecule: ribosomal RNA, 428 nt
Filed under: Doriopsilla janaina
Lineage: Eukaryota; Metazoa; Mollusca; Gastropoda; Nudibranchia; Dendrodorididae
Description: partial 16S ribosomal RNA
Rfam family: Bacterial large subunit ribosomal RNA
Source: RNAcentral